UACAGAGGGUGCGAGCGUUAAUCGGAAUUACUGGGCGUAAAGCGUGCGUAGGCGGUUAUUUAAGUCGGGUGUGAAAGCCCCGGGCUCAACCUGGGAAUUGCAUUCGAGACUGAAUAGCUAGGGUGCGGUAGAGGGAAGUGGAAUUUCCGGUGUAGCGGUGAAAUGCGUAGAUAUCGGAAGGAACAUCAGUGGCGAAAGCGACUUCCUGGACCAGUACCGACGUUCAGGCACGAAAGCGUGGGGAGCAAACAGG
This 253-nucleotide ribosomal RNA is filed under the name uncultured bacterium. RNAcentral describes it as "partial 16S ribosomal RNA". It matches the Rfam family "Bacterial small subunit ribosomal RNA", at positions 524 to 776 of the family's 1533-position model. The record is from RNAcentral.